UCUAUAUUUAUUUCCAUAGAAAAACUGUUAAUUAAGUAGCAUGAGGAACAUCUUUGUAAUUCCUCAGUCCAUUACCUUAUUCUUACCAAUAAAAGGGGAUAAAUGUAGGGAUCACUGAAUAUAGUAAUACUUACUGAAAGUUGAAGUGUUUGUAUAGACAAGUGAUACAAAUGUUAAAGACAUUGACCAAGUGAAAUAUUUAUUUUGAGUAGCAAGAUAACAUACAAAUAAUAAUUCAAGACAUGUCAAAAAGGAUAUUCUAAAAAAAAAUAUCACAAAUGUCAACUUUCAAAGCUUUUAGAUUCUAAAUGAAACAAGAUGUUAUGAUUGUAAAAUGCUAAAAAAAAAUUUAUCCUGCAACAUGUUAACAAAAACUAUAAUAACUACUGCAUUUUCUUGUUUUGAUUAGCCUGAUAAAUUUUAAGUUAUCUAAAAGAAUGAACUUUAAAAACUGAUUUCUUUUGAACUUACAUUAGUCCAAGUAAUGAGAGACACCCAGAGAGAAACAAAAACGAAAAUGAUGCUGCCUUUUUUUAAUAUUAAUAGUUGGGCAAUGAAAACCCAAUUUAGAGCAGCUUACACUCAUAGCUGAACUUUUGGUCUGGGAUACUUAGGUACUAUGUUUUCAACAUUAACUUUACAACACUCUUCUCAAAGAGACCAGGAGAGGCUGAUCAUUUGAUGACAAACUCACCUACUUAAACUAAGCAACAAAGCAACUGUGUAGAGCACAAUAUGAAUGCUUGAAAAUACUUGCCAUUGAAAGAAAAGUCUAUGUUCUUUGGUGCCUGAAAGAAAAGUCUAUCUACCCACUCCAAUGUUCACUGUGACUUGACAGAUAGCUCACAUUGACAAUAGUGUUAAGCUCACAUUGACAGUAGUGUUAUCACUUUU
Molecule: non-coding RNA, 894 nt
Organism: Biomphalaria pfeifferi
Lineage: Eukaryota; Metazoa; Mollusca; Gastropoda; Planorbidae
Source: the annotation of a GenBank genome assembly